RNAcentral lists this transfer RNA (73 nucleotides) under Devosia sp. Root413D1. It matches the Rfam family "tRNA". From Rfam's summary of the family: Transfer RNA (tRNA) molecules are approximately 80 nucleotides in length. Their secondary structure includes four short double-helical elements and three loops (D, anti-codon, and T loops). Lineage: Bacteria; Pseudomonadati; Pseudomonadota; Alphaproteobacteria; Hyphomicrobiales; Devosiaceae. The record is from Rfam by way of RNAcentral.
GGCCUCGUAGCUCAGGGGAUAGAGCAGCAGCCUUCUAAGCUGUUGGUCGCAGGUUCGAAUCCUGCCGAGGUCG